AGAAUCAACGCUGGCGGCGUGCCUAACACAUGCAAGUCGAACGAGAAAGUGGAGCAAUCCAUGAGUAAAGUGGCGACCGGGUGAGUAACACGUGACUAACCUACCUUCGAGUGGGGGAUAACCUCGGGAAACCGAGGCUAAUACCGCAUAACAUCGCAAGAUCAAAGCAGCAAUGCGCUGGAGAGGGGGUCGCGGCUGAUUAGCUAGUUGGCGGGUAACGCCCACAAGGCGAAGAUCGGUA
This 241-nucleotide ribosomal RNA is filed under the name uncultured bacterium. RNAcentral's name for it is "partial small subunit ribosomal RNA". It matches the Rfam family "Bacterial small subunit ribosomal RNA", at positions 26 to 285 of the family's 1533-position model. The record is from RNAcentral.